AAACUUGAGAGUUUGAUCAUGGCUCAGAACGAACGCUGGCGGCAUGCCUAACACAUGCAAGUCGAACGAGUGCCUUCGGGUGCUAGUGGCGCACGGGUGCGUAACGCGUGGGAAUCUGCCCUUUGGUUCGGAAUAACAGUUGGAAACGACUGCUAAUACCGGAUGAUGACGAAAGUCCAAAGAUUUAUCGCCAGAGGAUGAGCCCGCGUAGGAUUAGCUAGUUGGUGU
Molecule: ribosomal RNA, 228 nt
Filed under: Sphingomonas sp. TPD3009
Lineage: Bacteria; Pseudomonadati; Pseudomonadota; Alphaproteobacteria; Sphingomonadales; Sphingomonadaceae
Description: partial 16S ribosomal RNA
Rfam family: Bacterial small subunit ribosomal RNA
Source: RNAcentral